RNAcentral lists this ribosomal RNA (231 nucleotides) under uncultured bacterium. RNAcentral describes it as "partial 16S ribosomal RNA". It matches the Rfam family "Bacterial small subunit ribosomal RNA", at positions 118 to 347 of the family's 1533-position model. The record is from RNAcentral.
UGGGCAACCUGCCCCAGACACUGGGAUAACUCCGGGGAAACUGGGACUAAUACCGGAUACUCUCAGCCGACCGCAUGACCGGCUGAGGAAAGCUCCGGCGGUCUGGGAUGGGCCCGCGGCCUAUCAGCUUGUUGGUGGGGUAACGGCCUACCAAGGCGACGACGGGUAGCUGGUCUGAGAGGACGGCCAGCCACACUGGGACUGAGACACGGCCCAGACUCCGUACGGGAG